This 375-nucleotide unclassified non-coding RNA is filed under the name Homo sapiens (human). RNAcentral's name for it is "long intergenic non-protein coding RNA 1237 (ENSG00000280686.2)". Lineage: Eukaryota; Metazoa; Chordata; Mammalia; Primates; Hominidae. The record is from RNAcentral.
GUGCAUCUCCGAGUAGGGGCUGAGGGCACAGCUCUCCUGGCUCCUCUGCUCGGUUACAUCUACACAGUGAAUACGCCCCAGGUCCCAGCCUGGGAUCCACAGAAUCUUGAUAUUUUCCACUUCUGGAAAAUAAACUUCUGUUUUCUCCAGUUCAGCUGAGCUGAACAUCUACAAUGUCUGGCUUUACAGGUUUUGAUGCUGAAAAUAUUUUUUAUUUUUUAUUUUUUUUUUGAGACAGAGUCUCACUCUGUUGCCAGGCUGGAGUACAAUGGUGCCAUCUUGACUCACUGUAACCUCCGCCUCCCGGGUUCAAGCUAUUCUCCUGCCUCAGCUUCCUGAGUAGCUGGUACUACAGGCGUGUGCCACCAUGCCCAG